AGAGCUGUGGCUCAGUGGUAAAGCUAUGUAUGCAGAAGGUCUCAGGUUCAAUCCUUGCCAGUUCCA
Molecule: transfer RNA, 66 nt
Filed under: Sphaerodactylus townsendi
Lineage: Eukaryota; Metazoa; Chordata; Lepidosauria; Squamata; Sphaerodactylidae
Description: tRNA-Leu
Source: RNAcentral